Molecule: ribosomal RNA, 497 nt
Filed under: uncultured bacterium
Lineage: Bacteria
Description: partial 16S ribosomal RNA
Rfam family: Bacterial small subunit ribosomal RNA
Source: RNAcentral
GAUGAACGCUGGCGGCGUGCCUAAUACAUGCAAGUCGAGCGAACGGACGAGAAGCUUGCUUCUCUGAUGUUAGCGGCGGACGGGUGAGUAACACGUGGAUAACCUACCUAUAAGACUGGGAUAACUUCGGGAAACCGGAGCUAAUACCGGAUAAUAUUUUGAACCGCAUGGUUCAAAAGUGAAAGACGGUCUUGCUGUCACUUAUAGAUGGAUCCGCGCUGCAUUAGCUAGUUGGUAAGGUAACGGCUUACCAAGGCAACGAUGCAUAGCCGACCUGAGAGGGUGAUCGGCCACACUGGAACUGAGACACGGUCCAGACUCCUAAGGGAGGCAGCAGUAGGGAAUCUUCCGCAAUGGGCGAAAGCCUGACGGAGCAAGGCCGCGUGAGUGAUGAAGGUCUUCGGAUCGUAAAGCUCUGUUAUUAGGGAAGAACAGAUGUGUAAGUAACUGUGCACAUCUUGACGGUACCUAAUCAGAAAGCCACGGCUAACUACGUG